CCUGGUUGAUCCUGCCAGUUGUCAUAUGCUUGUCUCAAAGAUAUAAGCCAUGCAAGUGUAAGUAUGAACUCGUUUGUACAGUGAGACUGCGAAUGGCUCACUAAAUCAGUUAUAAUUUAUUCGGUGGUGAGGUUCUUUUCGGAGGACACUAGAUGGAUAACCGUGGAAAAUCUAGAGCUAAUACAUGCAGAGAGCGGCGUUAAGUCGUGCGUAUAUUAGAUACCAAGCUGUUCCUUUAUGGAGUGGUGAGUCAUAAUAUCCAAGCGGAUCGCAUGGGGCAACCCGGCGACGAACCGAUCAAAUUUCUGCCCUAUCAACUUUGGACGGUAGCGUAGUGGGCUACGGUGGUUAUGACGGGUAACGAACCAUGGGUGUGGGAUUUCGGAGAGGGCGCCUGAGAAACGGCGACCAUUUCCAAGGAAGGCAGCAGGCGCGCAAAUUACCCAAUUCACAAAGUGAGAGGUAGUGACAAUAAAUAACAAUGGUCGAAGCGAAAGCUUGACCAAUUGGAAUGAGAACAAUUUAAAACGCUUAUCGAGAAUCAAUUGGAGGGCAAGUCUGGUGCCAGCAGCCGCGGUAAUUCCAGCUCCAGUAGCGUAUACGGUCAUUGUUGCAGUUAAAAAGCUCGUAGUUGGAUGAGAUUGGGAAAGGCAAAGAUCGAACUUUGAUGAAAAAUCAAGGGAGGUCAAAAGUUUUCCAAUUAUAGUGUUUAAUGAGGGGAUAUGCUUCUUCGGAAGUAUAAUGGAACGAAAGUGAAGUAGAGAAGUCAAAUUCUUUUCCCCCAUUAUAGUUUACUUUGAAUAAAUUAGAGUGUUUAAAGCAAGUAGAAAUUUUCAAAAUUUUGUACGCUUGAAUAGAUUAGCAUGGGAUAAUGGAAUAGGACCAUCAGUUGAAUUGUUUUGGAACAGUUUGUCAACUGAUAGUAAUGAUUGAUAGGAGCGGUUGGGGGUAUUCGUAUUGAAUUAGAAGAGGUGAAAUUCAUGGAUUUGUUCAAGACGAACAUCAGCGAAAGCAUUUACCAAGGACGCUUCCGUUAAUCAAGAACGAAAGUUAAGGGAUCGAAGAUGAUCAGAUACCGUCGUAGUCUUAACCAUAAACUAUGCCGACCAAGGAUGGCGGGUCGUUGCAUGGAUGACUCUCGCCGAACUUUUGAGGGAAACCAUUGAGUGUUUAGGUUCUGGGGGGAGUACGGUCGCAAGGCUGAAACUUAAAGGAAUUGACGGAAGGGCACCACCAGGUGUGGAACCUGCGGCUUAAUUCGACUCAACACGGGGAAACUUACCAGGCCCGGACACAGGAAGGAUUGACAGAUUGAUAGCUCUUUCUUGAUUCUGUGGUUGGUGGUGCAUGGCCGUUCUUAGUUGGUGGAGUGAUUUGUCUGGUUAAUUCCGUUAACGAACGAGACCUUAGCUUACUAAUUAGAUUCACCUAAAUUCGACCUUGUGUUGAUUUAGGA
RNAcentral lists this ribosomal RNA (1456 nucleotides) under metagenome. RNAcentral describes it as "SSU rRNA". It matches the Rfam family "Eukaryotic small subunit ribosomal RNA", at positions 3 to 1392 of the family's 1831-position model. The record is from RNAcentral.